UACGAGAGCCUCGAGCGUUAUCCGGAAUUAUUGGGCGUAAAGGGUGCGUAGGUUGUUUUGUUAGUCUUUUGUCAAAGCCCGGGGCUUAACUUCGGAUCUGCAAAAGAUACGGCAAGACUAGAAAGUGUGAGAGGCGUACGGAACUCAUGGUGUAGGGGUGAAAUCCGUUGAUAUCAUGGGGAACACCAAAAGCGAAAGCAGUACGCUGGCGCAUAUUUGACACUGAAGCACGAAAGCGUGGGUAGCGAAU
This 250-nucleotide ribosomal RNA is filed under the name uncultured bacterium. RNAcentral describes it as "partial 16S ribosomal RNA". It matches the Rfam family "Bacterial small subunit ribosomal RNA", at positions 524 to 773 of the family's 1533-position model. The record is from RNAcentral.